AGCAAUAUUUGUAAGAAAACCAUGUGAGGGUUGAUCAGUUUGUGGGUAUCUGUGUAAUGAUCAUGGAGUUGUGCAUCACACUAAUAACCAUGGUACUUUUGCUGAUAAUCAUUCAAGAGAUGAUGGCAUUUCUCACAGUGGUGUAGAUGGUGGAGUACUGCAAGAAUUCAGGUAGAUCGAUGGGUCCUGCAUUGAUGAAACUGAACAAAGUUAGUUGCAUGGUCCUAAUAGGGUAAGUGUGCCCAUAAUCACCUUUGUCAUAAUCUGAUUUUCAGGUUCCUAUCAAGAAAUCAUGAUAAACCUCAUAAUGACCAUUAACAGAACUAUUCUUGCAUCCAGGUUCAUGUAAGACGUCAUGGGGAGCAUAUCAGUCACGGCAAAUGAGGCACAUAGCAGGUAUUGAGGUAAGUGAUGAUACGAGUCUGAACCACAGCACAGACCAUCUGAUCUUACAUGUAGGUAAGUGAUUGUGUCCCUAAUACUUCUUGUUACUAUGAUUUUGUUGCAGGUAUUCAGGUAAGAAAUGAUAGUCCUUACCAAAUCUAGUGAUCAUGCCUUUACACGUUUUACAUUUUAUUUUUUUUAAUUUAUUUAUUUGAGAGAGAGAUCGAGAACACGUGAGCACAUCGGUGAGAGGAGCAGAGGAAGAGUCUCAAGCAGGGGCUUGAUCCCACGGUCCUGAGAUCCUGCGAUCACGACUCUAGCUGAAACCAAGAGUUGGACGCUUAACCAACUGUACCACCCAGGAGUCCAGUUCAGACACCGUGGCUUUCUUCCAACAAAGGUGUUCACCUGAAUUAAUGCAAGUAUCAGGAUAGAGUUGAUGUGUUCCAUAAUAACAGAAGUAAAAAGGUGUUCUGGUGGAGUAAGUCAUGUCCUUCAACAUACUUAUCCUAUGUAUUUCUUCAGUUUCCUGUCAAGAAAACACGGUCAACCUACUAGUGCUUGUCAAUGGGAACUUGCUCUUAACCAGGCGCAUGACAUCUUGUCACAUUGUAAACCGUCUAAUCUUCAAUAUGAAGGUAUCCCUUCAGGAGAAGUCGAUGUGUCUUCCCAGGGUUUGACCUUGGAGUCCUGCAAUUAA
RNAcentral lists this long non-coding RNA (1084 nucleotides) under Vulpes vulpes (red fox). Its description in RNAcentral is "lncRNA (ENSVVUG00000019286.1)". Lineage: Eukaryota; Metazoa; Chordata; Mammalia; Carnivora; Canidae. The record is from RNAcentral.